This 213-nucleotide ribosomal RNA is filed under the name Halomonas sp. RNAcentral's name for it is "partial 23S ribosomal RNA". It matches the Rfam family "Bacterial large subunit ribosomal RNA", at positions 2718 to 2925 of the family's 2925-position model. Lineage: Bacteria; Pseudomonadati; Pseudomonadota; Gammaproteobacteria; Oceanospirillales; Halomonadaceae. The record is from RNAcentral.
CGGUUGUCACGCCAGUGGCAUUGCCGGGUAGCUAUGGUCGGACGGGAUAACCGCUGAAAGCAUCUAAGCGGGAAGCCCCCUUCAAGAUGAGACAUCCCCGAGGCCUAGAGCCUCCUGAAGGGCCCAGCGAGACCAGCUGGUGGAUAGGCACGGUGUGGAAGCGCUGCAAGGCGUUGAGCUAACGUGUACUAAUGGCCCGUGAGGCUUGACCCU